Molecule: long non-coding RNA, 10463 nt
Organism: Brassica napus (rape)
Lineage: Eukaryota; Viridiplantae; Streptophyta; Magnoliopsida; Brassicales; Brassicaceae
Exons: 7
Source: RefSeq, a predicted model, not a curated record
CCCCACUAUCUCCACCAUCCCCACCACUCCCACCAUCUCCACCAUCCCCAACUUCUUUAAAGAGAAAGAGAGAGAGAGGGAGAGAGAGAGAAAGAAAGAGAGAUAGAGAGAGAAAGCUCACCUGAGCUCGUCGCCGGAGCAACCGUGUGCCGUGAUCACGUUCAGCUUGCCACCACCGAUAAACGCCCUAGGUAACCGCCGAAAACCGCAUUUCUUAAGCUCAUUUUCGUUUCCGUUUAGUAAAUCACCCAUAACUUCCUAACCAUUGAUCAUCUCGUACAUCCAAGGCCAUCAUCGUGUUCCUCUCGUCGAGACGAAGCCGUAGACACCAACCACGCCUCAAACGGAGCCCGGACGAAGCCGCACGCGCCUCCCGAAGAUUCGCCUCGGCGCGCGCGUGAAACACACGCGCCACCGCCGUCCGCCGGAGCCACCGCGAGUUCCGGCCACGCGCUGCCGUCUCCGACCAAAGUUCGCCGGAGCCGCCGUGACCGACCACCGUCCGUUCGCCGCCGGGAAGCUGCCGCCGCGUCGCCGCCGUUGACUUUCCGAUUUGGAGUCCAUUUGAGCAGCUGGAGUUCAUAGAUACCACCUCUUAUUGUUGCUAAGGUGAGACAAACAAGUAUGUGAUAUUUGGACGGACUUGGUGCUACUGGACUUUUCUUUCGGAUUUUAUUUGGGCUUGGGUGAGAGUUGUCGGGUUUAUGGGCUUUUAUAUUACGGGAUAUUGUUGGUGGCCCGUCGUCCUUAGUGUCAGGGAGACGGGUGUCACAUUGUUGUAUGAUGACGCGUCGGGGGUGACACGCUGUCCUCCAUAUAGGAGGUGACGGGUGUCACAAUUUGGUAUCAGAGCGGGUUCCAUCCCGGUUCCGUCCGGGAUGGCGGUCAGGGGAUUCGGUUUUCAUCGGUUUUCAACUUAAAAAAAAAAAAAAAACUAUAUAUUUAUUUAUACAUUUCGAAAUUCUUUUAGCACCAUUCUGUCCAGUAAUUACUAACUCAAAUGUCUCUUUCUAUGACGAUGAGUAAAAUCAUCGUCAUUCGUCCUUCGACUAUCAAGGUUCUCGACAGAUGUUCAGCAGUUGCGUGAAGUCCAAGUUCGUCAGUUUUCUCGGGAGUUAUCAGUUUCUUCGGUCAUGAUUUCGAGGCUAUCCAGGAGUGGAUAUGUGACGUUUCUGCCACCAGCCCACUUCAAGCAAUCGUUCCACGAGUUUUGUUACUGGAGAUUAUGUGGUGUGUGGUAUGAGCCAUUGGUUGGCAUGUGUUGUUGUGUGUACGAGUAUAUUGACUAUUUUGGAGAUAUAUUUGUUUUGUGAACUCGUGGAGAUCGCUUUUGAAUUGGGGUGCAGCAGCUUGCGUUGUGUAGGUGUUGGAGUUACACUUUGGUAUGUUUACCAAUUUUGGCAGUGUUGAUCGUUUCAGAGAUGUGUCAGUUUGGACAACUGACAUAGGACAUUGGGAGCUAUUUAUAUCCAUCGCAGUGUACCAGUUAUGCUUGGAGGGCCGAUUUGUUCGGAUAUUCAUCAGAGAUGGAGCUACGUUUUUACGAUGUUAUCCUUGGGACGGAUUGAUUGUCACGGCAUCAAGUAGUGUUGGAUUGCCUGAGGGCAAGAGUUCUGAUUGCUGGAGCAGAUGGAAGUUGUUAGUGCAUGCAUGCUACAUACUGAGGAGUUAUGGGAUACAAGGACAUAGAGAUUUUUGACUUUAUGGGAUACAAGGACAUAGAGAUUUGUGACUACCAUCUCGAUGGUUAAGGCUGAUGGACAACAUGAGCUGCAGGAUCUUCCGGUUAUUGCAGAGUAUGAGGAUAUAUUUGUGACCUUCGGAACGGUCACCACAUGACACAUGAGAAACUCUUGCGAUUUGUUUGGAGCAAACAACACCAGUUUCACAAGUUUUAUACCGAUUAGCACCAACAGAGAUGACAAAGCUGAAAGAGCAUGUUGAAGAUUCAUCAGACAAGGGUUUUAUCAGACCGGAUACUUUACCGUGGGGAAUAUCAUCAUUGUUGUUGUAAAGAAGAAAGGUGGGAGUUUCAAUUUUGUAUCGACUGCAAAGGUCUGAACAAAGUGACCAUUAAAGAUAAGUAUCGCUUCCGCGCGUUGAUGAAUUAGUGGAUUAUUUAUAGGAAGUUUAUAGUUCUUGAAGGUUGACAUGGCAUCAGAACACCAUCAGAUUACUAUAUUUGAAGAGUAUCUACUGAAUGUGAAUUUUUGUAUACAUUAUGGAUAUUAUGGGACGCAGUGAUACCAUUUGGCUCGACAAAGGCACUGUUGCAUUCAUGAAGAUAUGAAUGACGUUUUCAUGAACAUUUGGAUAGGUGUGCGAUUGUAUUCAUCGAUGACAUCCUGAUUUAUUUUGGAGAAGAAAGGAGAUUUGUGAGCAUUUCGCGGAUUGCGUUGGAUAAGCCUGGAGAGCAUCAGUUGUUCGCUAAGUUGAGGAAGUGUAGCUUCUGGCAGAGGAAUGUUGUAUUUUUGGCUGACAUGGUUUUGGAAGCAGAAUUUUGAUGGAUCAAAAGAAGAUUAAUACCGUUUCGGGGAGGUCGAAACCUAAGAGCGCUACAAAGAUCUGCCGUUCUUUUUGGGUUAAUAGUGUUCUACUGGAAGUUCAUCAAGGGUUUCACCGGUAUAGUAAUGUUAAAGACGUGGUCUGCAUGUAAAGACGUAAAGUGUGGCUGGAUAGAUUUUUGUUCGAGGAGUUUCACUGAAUUGAAGCACAACUAAUGAAGACACCAGUUUUGGGUUCUACUGAGGCUGAGGCUUACUGUGAUGUGUCAGAUACUGGAUUGGAUUUAAAUUAAGGUAUGAGGAUUAAGUCAUUCAUAUGCAUCACGCCAGAGAGGCUGUAGUGGUAUUUGCGUUAUCGUUUUGGAAAUCGUAAUUGUACGGGAAGGAAAUUCAGAUUCUCUGGGAUUAUUAGAAUGUGAAAUUUAUCUUCAUUUAUUAAAAACUUGUACUUGGACAGUGCAGUUGGAUUGAGUUUGUAGCAGACUACAGUUUGGAUAUCGCAUACCAUCUCGGAAGGACAACCAGGUGACAGAUGCCUUGGGUAGGAACAUGAGCGGCAUAUCGAGAACCAAAAAGAUUUAAGAGCUUAUUGGGAGACUUGCUAGUCUCAGAUUGUGUGUUAUUACUGUCAAAGGAAAGACAUAUGGCCUUAAGGCUUGGAGCAGGCAGUUUUGGUAUGGAGGAUACACAAGCACGAGUUAGCAUUAUGGAUUUGGUUGAACAGAUCGAGAUUGGGAGUAUUGGAUAUCAUACAGCUUUGAGCAGGAUAUACUUGUACUGAAACCGAGUUUGUGUGUUGGACGAUAAGUUGUUAAGAAAAGGAAUCUUACAACAAACAUAUCACUCGUGUUUCUCUACCCAUCGGGAAGACCAAAGGGUACAAAGAUAUGAAGAGUUAACUAUAAUUGGUGUAGUAUGAAGAUGUUUGUAACUACAUUACGUCGCGGUGCCAGACAUGUUAUAUGGCAAUAACAGAGGAUCGGUCAUCUAUCAUGUAAUUUUUGAGCUUGCUUUUGCUGGAGUAGAAAUGAGGCAUGGUGAUUAUGGACAUUGUUAUUGGAUUUUAAAUCACCAUAUGUGGAAAGGAUGCCACAUGGGUAGUCAUGGAUAGACUUACCAAGUCAGCCCAUUUCCUAAGUAAUUAAGAAGAUAAUCAGGGCUAAUCAAUUGGAGCAGACCUACAUUAUUGAGUUUGGGAAGUUUCAUGGAUGUCAAAAUUGUAUCAGAUUGGGAAUCGAAGUUCACAUCUACAUUUCAGAGAGCCUUUCGGAAGGCACUUGGGACAAAGAUCAUAUGAGUACAUCUUAUCACCCGUUGACAUAUUGUCAGUUAGAGAGGACUACUGAGAACUUAAAUGAUAUGUUCAGAGAUUGCGUGGGAUGGAAUUUCGGAAACCAUCUACCUUUACCAGAGUUUGCCUACAUCGACAAUUAUCUUUCGAGUAAAAAAAAAAAAAAAAAAAAAUUACUAUACAAGGGUUAUUUAUGGUAGACCUUAUAGUAUACCACUUUGUUGGACCAAAGUGGGGGAGCGACAUGAGUUAAAAGUAUUAAUGGUUCAAAAGGCGGCUGAGCAAAUGGAAAUGCUCAAUGAUGGGUUUUCGGAAUCCCAUGACGUCAGAAGAUUUAUGCAGCUAAGCGCCAUAAAUAUUUGGAGCUACAUAUGGGCGACUUAAUAUACCUGAAAAUAAGGACAUUUCAAGAGGGGCCUAAGACUCAGAAGAUAAAGGAGCUUAAACCGAGACACAUGGAAUUGUAUCCUGCACUGGAGUGGAUUGGAUUAGUUGCUUGCAGUUACUUUAUCAGCAAUAUAUCAGCCUUCUAGGACUUGGUUCAUAUGACAGCAUUGCAAAAGUUGAGAAGGCGCUAUAAUUAUUUUGCAGUUGACGUCAAGUGAGUUCAUAAAGAUUUUAUGGACCUUAUCAUCUAUUGAAGAUUUUGGAUCAUCAAGAGAAAACAGUUCGGGGAAUGUCGACCGUGUUUGUCCGAGUUCGUUGGGAGGGAGAUAAGACUCAGGAGGGGACCUGAAAGGCCGAGCGAGGAUUAGUAUUCGAGGUUUUGCUAUGAUGACAUUGGGCACGUCAGCUUAUGACAUGAAUUCGGGGACGAAUUCCUUAUAAGUGGGGGAGAAUUGUAAUGACCCACCUCCACUAUCCCCACUAUCUCCACCAUCCCCACCACUCCCACCAUCUCCACCAUCCCCAACUUCUUUAAAGAGAGAGAGAGAGAGGGAGAGAGAGAGAGAAAGAGAGAGAUAGAGAGAGAAAGCUCACCUGAGCUCGUCGCCGGAGCAACCGUGUGCCGUGAUCACGUUCAGCUUGCCACCACCGAUAAACGCCCUAGGUAACCGCCGAAAACCGCAUUUCUUAAGCUCAUUUUCGUUUCCGUUUAGUAAAUCACCCAUAACUUCCUAACCAUUGAUCAUCUCGUACAUCCAAGGCCAUCAUCGUGUUCCUCUCGUCGAGACGAAGCCGUAGACACCAACCACGCCUCAAACGGAGCCCGGACGAAGCCGCACGCGCCUCCCGAAGAUUCGCCUCGGCGCGCGCGUGAAACACACGCGCCACCGCCGUCCGCCGGAGCCACCGCGAGUUCCGGCCACGCGCUGCCGUCUCCGACCAAAGUUCGCCGGAGCCGCCGUGACCGACCACCGUCCGUUCGCCGCCGGGAAGCUGCCGCCGCGUCGCCGCCGUUGACUUUCCGAUUUGGAGUCCAUUUGAGCAGCUGGAGUUCAUAGAUACCACCUCUUAUUGUUGCUAAGGUGAGACAAACAAGUAUGUGAUAUUUGGACGGACUUGGUGCUACUGGACUUUUCUUUCGGAUUUUAUUUGGGCAUGGGUGAGAGUUGUCGGGUUUAUGGGCUUUUAUAUUACGGGAUAUUGUUGGUGGCCCGUCGUCCUUAGUGUCAGGGAGACGGGUGUCACAUUGUUGUAUGAUGACGCGUCGGGGGUGACACGCUGUCCUCCAUAUAGGAGGUGACGGGUGUCACAAUUUGGUAUCAGAGCGGGUUCCAUCCCGGUUCCGUCCGGGAUGGCGGUCAGGGGAUUCGGUUUUCAUCGGUUUUCAACUUAAAAAAAAAAAAAAACUAUAUAUUUAUUUAUACAUUUCGAAAUUCUUUUAGCACCAUUCUGUCCAGUAAUUACUAACUCAAAUGUCUCUUUCUAUGACGAUGAGUAAAAUCAUCGUCAUUCGUCCUUCGACUAUCAAGGUUCUCGACAGAUGUUCAGCAGUUGCGUGAAGUCCAAGUUCGUCAGUUUUCUCGGGAGUUAUCAGUUUCUUCGGUCAUGAUUUCGAGGCUAUCCAGGAGUGGAUAUGUGACGUUUCUGCCACCAGCCCACUUCAAGCAAUCGUUCCACGAGUUUUGUUACUGGAGAUUAUGUGGUGUGUGGUAUGAGCCAUUGGUUGGCAUGUGUUGUUGUGUGUACGAGUAUAUUGACUAUUUUGGAGAUAUAUUUGUUUUGUGAACUCGUGGAGAUCGCUUUUGAAUUGGGGUGCAGCAGCUUGCGUUGUGUGGGUGUUGGAGUUACACUUUGGUAUGUUUACCAAUUUUGGCAGUGUUGAUCGUUUCAGAGAUGUGUCAGUUUGGACAACUGACAUAGGACAUUGGGAGCUAUUUAUAUCCAUCGCAGUGUACCAGUUAUGCUUGGAGGGCCGAUUUGUUCGGAUAUUCAUCAGAGAUGGAGCUACGUUUUUACGAUGUUAUCCUUGGGACGGAUUGAUUGUCACGGCAUCAAGUAGUGUUGGAUUGCCUGAGGGCAAGAGUUCUGAUUGCUGGAGCAGAUGGAAGUUGUUAGUGCAUGCAUGCUACAUACUGAGGAGUUAUGGGAUACAAGGACAUAGAGAUUUUUGACUUUAUGGGAUACAAGGACAUAGAGAUUUGUGACUACCAUCUCGAUGGUUAAGGCUGAUGGACAACAUGAGCUACAGGAUCUUCCGGUUAUUGCAUAGUAUGAGGAUAUAUUUGUGACCUUUGGAACGGUCACCACAUGACACAUGAGAAACUCUUGCGAUUUGUUUGGAGCAAACAACACCAGUUUCACAAGUUUUAUACCGAUUAGCACCAACAGAGAUGACAAAGCUGAAAGAGCAUGUUGAAGAUUCAUCAGACAAGGGUUUUAUCAGACCGGAUACUUUACCGUGGGGAAUAUCAUCAUUGUUGUUGUAAAGAAGAAAGGUGGGAGUUUCAAUUUUGUAUCGACUGCAAAGGUCUGAACAAAGUGACCAUUAAAGAUAAGUAUCGCUUCCGCGCGUUGAUGAAUUAGUGGAUUAUUUAUAGGAAGUUUAUAGUUCUUGAAGGUUGACAUGGCAUCAGAACACCAUCAGAUUACUAUAUUUGAAGAGUAUCUACUGAAUGUGAAUUUUUGUAUACAUUAUGGAUAUUAUGGGACGCAGUGAUACCAUUUGGCUCGACAAAGGCACUGUUGCAUUCAUGAAGAUAUGAAUGACGUUUUCAUGAACAUUUGGAUAGGUGUGCGAUUGUAUUCAUCGAUGACAUCCUGAUUUAUUUUGGAGAAGAAAGGAGAUUUGUGAGCAUUUCGCGGAUUGCGUUGGAUAAGCCUGGAGAGCAUCAGUUGUUCGCUAAGUUGAGGAAGUGUAGCUUCUGGCAGAGGAAUGUUGUAUUUUUGGCUGACAUGGUUUUGGAAGCAGAAUUUUGAUGGAUCAAAAGAAGAUUAAUACCGUUUCGGGGAGGUCGAAACCUAAGAGCGCUACAAAGAUCUGCCGUUCUUUUUGGGUUAAUAGUGUUCUACUGGAAGUUCAUCAAGGGUUUCACCGGUAUAGUAAUGUUAAAGACGCGGUCUACAUGUAAAGACGUAAAGUGUGGCUGGAUAGAUUUUUGUUCGAGGAGUUUCACUGAAUUGAAGCACAACUAAUGAAGACACCAGUUUUGGGUUCUACUGAGGCUGAGGCUUACUGUGAUGUGUCAGAUACUGGAUUGGAUUUAAAUUAAGGUAUGAGGAUUAAGUCAUUCAUAUGCAUCACGCCAGAGAGGCUGUAGUGGUAUUUGCGUUAUCGUUUUGGAAAUCGUAAUUGUACGGGAAGGAAAUUCAGAUUCUCUGGGAUUAUUAGAAUGUGAAAUUUAUCUUCAUUUAUUAAAAACUUGUACUUGGACAGUGCAGUUGGAUUGAGUUUGUAGCAGACUACAGUUUGGAUAUCGCAUACCAUCUGGAAGGACAACCAGGUGACAAAUGCCUUGGGUAGGAACAUGAGCGGCAUAUCGAGAACCAAAAAGAUUUAAGAGCUUAUUGGGAGACUUGCUAGUCUCAGAUUGUGUGUUAUUACUGUCAAAGGAAAGACAUAUGGCCUUAAGGCUUGGAGCAGGCAGUUUUGGUAUGGAGGAUACACAAGCACGAGUUAGCAUUAUGGAUUUGGUUGAACAGAUCGAGAUUGGGAGUAUUGGAUAUCAUACAGCUUUGAGCAGGAUAUACUUGUACUGAAACCGAGUUUGUGUGUUGGACGAUAAGUUGUUAAGAAAAGGAAUCUUACAACAAACAUAUCACUCGUGUUUCUCUACCCAUCGGGAAGACCAAAGGGUACAAAGAUAUGAAGAGUUAACUAUAAUUGGUGUAGUAUGAAGAUGUUUGUAACUACAUUACGUCGCGGUGCCAGACAUGUUAUAUGGCAAUAACAGAGGAUCGGUCAUCUAUCAUGUAAUUUUUGAGCUUGCUUUUGCUGGAGUAGAAAUGAGGCAUGGUGAUUAUGGACAUUGUUAUUGGAUUUUAAAUCACCAUAUGUGGAAAGGAUGCCACAUGGGUAGUCAUGGAUAGACUUACCAAGUCAGCCCAUUUCCUAAGUAAUUAAGAAGAUAAUCAGGGCUAAUCAAUUGGAGCAGACCUACAUUAUUGAGUUUGGGAAGUUUCAUGGAUGUCAAAAUUGUAUCAGAUUGGGAAUCGAAGUUCACAUCUACAUUUCAGAGAGCCUUUCGGAAGGCACUUGGGACAAAGAUCAUAUGAGUACAUCUUAUCACCCGUUGACAUAUUGUCAGUUAGAGAGGACUACUGAGAACUUAAAUGAUAUGUUCAGAGAUUGCGUGGGAUGGAAUUUCGGAAACCAUCUACCUUUACCAGAGUUUGCCUACAUCGACAAUUAUCUUUCGAGUAAAAAAAAAAAAAAAAAAAAAAUUACUAUACAAGGGUUAUUUAUGGUAGACCUUAUAGUAUACCACUUUGUUGGACCAAAGUGGGGGAGCGACAUGAGUUAAAAGUAUUAAUGGUUCAAAAGGCGGCUGAGCAAAUGGAAAUGCUCAAUGAUGGGUUUUCGGAAUCCCAUGACGUCAGAAGAUUUAUGCAGCUAAGCGCCAUAAAUAUUUGGAGCUACAUAUGGGCGACUUAAUAUACCUGAAAAUAAGGACAUUUCAAGAGGGGCCUAAGACUCAGAAGAUAAAGGAGCUUAAACCGAGACACAUGGAAUUGUAUCCUGCACUGGAGUGGAUUGGAUUAGUUGCUUGCAGUUACUUUAUCAGCAAUAUAUCAGCCUUCUAGGACUUGGUUCAUAUGACAGCAUUGCAAAAGUUGAGAAGGCGCUAUAAUUAUUUUGCAGUUGACGUCAAGUGAGUUCAUAAAGAUUUUAUGGACCUUAUCAUCUAUUGAAGAUUUUGGAUCAUCAAGAGAAAACAGUUCGGGGAAUGUCGACCGUGUUUGUCCGAGUUCGUUGGGAGGGAGAUAAGACUCAGGAGGGGACCUGAAAGGCCGAGCGAGGAUUAGUAUUCGAGGUUUUGCUAUGAUGACAUUGGGCACGUCAGCUUAUGACAUGAAUUCGGGGACGAAUUCCUUAUAAGUGGGGGAGAAUUGUAAUGACCCACCUCCACUAUCCCCACUAUCUCCACCAUCCCCACCACUCCCACCAUCUCCACCAUCCCCAACUUCUUUAAAGAGAAAGAGAGAGAGAGGGAGAGAGAGAGAAAGAAAGAGAGAUAGAGAGAGAAAGCUCACCUGAGCUCGUCGCCGGAGCAACCGUGUGCCGUGAUCACGUUCAGCUUGCCACCACCGAUAAACGCCCUAGGUAACCGCCGAAAACCGCAUUUCUUAAGCUCAUUUUCGUUUCCGUUUAGUAAAUCACCCAUAACUUCCUAACCAUUGAUCAUCUCGUACAUCCAAGGCCAUCAUCGUGUUCCUCUCGUCGAGACGAAGCCGUAGACACCAACCACGCCUCAAACGGAGCCCGGACGAAGCCGCACGCGCCUCCCGAAGAUUCGCCUCGGCGCGCGCGUGAAACACACGCGCCACCGCCGUCCGCCGGAGCCACCGCGAGUUCCGGCCACGCGCUGCCGUCUCCGACCAAAGUUCGCCGGAGCCGCCGUGACCGACCACCGUCCGUUCGCCGCCGGGAAGCUGCCGCCGCGUCGCCGCCGUUGACUUUCCGGUAAGCCGCCGCGACGCCGCCGGUGACCGACACCGGUAACUCGCCGGCGACUCGCCAACUCGGCCGAGUCAACCCGAUUUGGAGUCCAUUUGAGCAGCUGGAGUUCAUAGAUACCACCUCUUAUUGUUGCUAAGGUGAGACAAACAAGUAUGUGAUAUUUGGACGGACUUGGUGCUACUGGACUUUUCUUUCGGAUUUUAUUUGGGCUUGGGUGAGAGUUGUCGGGUUUAUGGGCUUUUAUAUUACGGGAUAUUGUUGGUGGCCCGUCGUCCUUAGUGUCAGGGAGACGGGUGUCACAUUGUUGUAUGAUGACGCGUCGGGGGUGACACGCUGUCCUCCAUAUAGGAGGUGACGGGUGUCACACUUACACUAUAGGUGACGGUAAGAAGUUUAGCGUCCCAACCAAUGGCCCAUGCACCAGGGUUUCCUUUCUCCAUCACUAACGCCACGACAGUUCCUUCUAUUGUUCCCAUUAGGCAUAUCCAUGCAGUGAGUGAGAGUUCAGCUGGGUAAGUUCUCAACGUGACAGCCUGACAAAAUUGAUUCAUAUAUAACCAAAAUAAAUCGCUAAAGUAAAAAAAAAUGUGACUGUUCUGGUUCA